AUGUGGCACACGUUUGAUUAUAUGACUGCAUCGGGGCCCUAGAUGGCACCCAUAUACCAGCUUAUGUGUCAAGAGAAAUGAGCUCAACUUUUAGAAAUAGGAAAGGAUAUCUCUCUUAAAAUGUUCUUGCUGCAUGUACGUUUGAUAUGAAAUUUGUAUAUGUGCUUGCUGGUUGGGAUGGAUCUGCAUCCGAUGCACGUGUCUUGCAAAAUGCAUUAACUCGUCGUCCUGAUUGUUUUCUUAUUCCUCACGAAAAAUAUUAUGUCGUUGAUGCUCGAUAUGCACAUACGCCCGGGUUUAUGGCCCCCUACCGAGGUGUAUAAUAUCAUCUGAAUGAGUUCCGUACUUGAAGGAAGCCCGCAAAUAAAAAAGAACUUUUCAAUUAUCGCCAUGCCUAGUUGUGAAAUGUCAUAGAGCGGUCUUUUGGGAUUUAAAAGUCUGCUUCCCUAUUCUACGUACUCCUCCUCAGUUCAAGUUUAAAACACAAGUUAAAAUUGUUAUAGCUUGUUGUGUCCUUCAUAAUUUCAUCCGUGUUAGUGGUGAUGAUGGACUUGCUGAGGUAGUCGAGGAUAGUGGAGACAGUACGGAGGAUGCUACACCAUCCCCUGUAAAAAUAUCUACUGCGGAGGAAGGAAGAGCUUUAUCUCUGGUGACAGACCGCAGUCGGGAAGAGUGGGUGAGGAAGAGAGACGAGAUAACUGAGAGAAUGUGGAAUGACAGUCUUCCACGUACCAGACAACGUAUUUAGUUUUCAUUGGUUUUGUACUCAUCUACUAUGUUUUUAGCAGGAAUAUUUGCAUACUUAUUUACUUUUACUGUGAAUUUUUUUGAUAGGAUGGCUUAUAUAAUCUUCUUAUGAAUUUUCAUGAAUUAA
Long non-coding RNA from Magnolia sinica, 874 nucleotides. RefSeq lists it as uncharacterized. The record is from RefSeq and is a predicted model, not a curated record. NCBI's taxonomy places the organism in Eukaryota, Viridiplantae, Streptophyta, Magnoliopsida, Magnoliales, Magnoliaceae. The transcript is spliced from 2 exons.